UGGGGAAUUUUGGACAAUGGGCGAAAGCCUGAUCCAGCCAUGCCGCGUGAGUGAAGAAGGCCUUCGGGUUGUAAAGCUCUUUCGGACAGAAAGAAAUCGCACGAACUAAUACUUUGUGCGGAUGACGGUACUGUAAGAAGAAGCACCGGCUAACUACGUGCCAGCAGCCGCGGUAAUACGUAGGGUGCGAGCGUUAAUCGGAAUUACUGGGCGUAAAGGGUGCGCAGGCGGUUAUAUAAGACAGAUGUGAAAUCCCCGGGCUCAACCUGGGAACUGCGUUUGUGACUGUAUAACUAGAGUACGGUAGAGAGGGGUGGAAUUCCUGGUGUAGCAGUGAAAUGCGUAGAUAUCAGGAGGAACAUCGAUGGCGAAGGCAGCCCCUUGGACCUGUACUGACGCU
This 400-nucleotide ribosomal RNA is filed under the name uncultured bacterium. RNAcentral's name for it is "bacterial SSU rRNA". It matches the Rfam family "Bacterial small subunit ribosomal RNA", at positions 355 to 747 of the family's 1533-position model. The record is from RNAcentral.